UACGAAGGGGGCUAGCGUUGUUCGGAAUCACUGGGCGUAAAGCGUGCGUAGGUGGCCAUGCAAGUCAGGGGUGAAAUCCCGGGGCUCAACCCCGGAACUGCCUUUGAAACUGCAUGGCUGGAGUCCCGGAGGGGGUGGCGGAAUUCCUAGUGUAGGGGUGAAAUCCGUAGAGACUAGGAGGAACACCAGUGGCGAAGGCGGCCACCUGGACGGGUACUGACACUGAGGCACGAAAGCGUGGGGAGCAAACAGG
This 253-nucleotide unclassified non-coding RNA is filed under the name uncultured Rickettsiales bacterium. Its description in RNAcentral is "contains 16S-23S intergenic spacer region". It matches the Rfam family "Bacterial small subunit ribosomal RNA", at positions 524 to 776 of the family's 1533-position model. Lineage: Bacteria; Pseudomonadati; Pseudomonadota; Alphaproteobacteria; Rickettsiales. The record is from RNAcentral.